RNAcentral lists this ribosomal RNA (1515 nucleotides) under Triticum aestivum (bread wheat). RNAcentral's name for it is "partial small subunit ribosomal RNA". The record is from RNAcentral. Lineage: Eukaryota; Viridiplantae; Streptophyta; Magnoliopsida; Poales; Poaceae.
AUGAGGAAGGCCGUGCUGAUGUUGGUUCUGGCGUUGGUGCAAUGCCUCGCGCUGGGCUGCAGCACGGCAGCGGCGGCCAGGGCGCGGCAGGGCGACUACCUGCGCCGGCUGCGCUGGUCGUCGUCGCUGGCGGCCGUGGAGGAGCCGACCAGGGCGACGGCCAGCAGAAGACCCAGGUCGGUGCCGGCGGCGGAGGUCGGGCGCAAGGAGGCCGACCGCGUGGAUGCGCUGCCCGGGCAGCCGCGCGGCGUGGACUUCGCGCAGUACGCCGGGUACGUGACGGUGGACGCGGCGGCCGGGCGCGCGCUGUUCUACUACCUCGCCGAGGCCGUCGGCUGCAACGGCAACGGCGACGGGUCGUCGUCCAAGGGCAAGCCCCUCCUCCUGUGGCUCAACGGCGGCCCCGGGUGCUCGUCGCUGGGGUACGGCGCCAUGGAGGAGCUCGGCCCCUUCCGCGUCAUGAGCGACGGCAAGACGCUCUACCGCAACCCCUACUCCUGGAACCACGCCGCGAACGUUCUGUUCUUGGAGAGCCCGGCUGGGGUGGGGUACUCGUACUCGAACACGACGGCGGACUACGACCGGAGCGGGGACAACCGGACGGCGGAGGACGCGUACGCUUUCCUGGCCAGCUGGAUGGAGCGCUUCCCGGAGUACAAGGGCCGCGACUUCUACAUCGCCGGCGAGAGCUACGCCGGCCACUUCGCGCCGCAGCUCGCCCACGCCGUCCUCCGCCACGCCUCCCCGGCCAUCAACCUCAAAGGGGUCAUGAUUGGGAACGCGGUGAUCAACGAGGGGACGGACAAGAAGGGCACGUUCGACUUCUACUGGACGCACGCGCUCAUCUCCGACGAGACGGCCGCCGGCGUCAACCAGAACUGCAACUUCACCAAUGGCGCCCAGUCGAAUGAUCUCUGCGACCAAGCCAACGACGACGUCGUCGAGAACCUCCGGGACAUCGACAACUACAACAUCUACGCGCCAAACUGCCAGACGGAAGGGCUCGUCACCCCGCCCAUCACCCCCUCGAUCGAGAGCUUUGAUACGUGCACAAGUAAUUAUGUGGAGGCCUACCUCAACAAGCCAGAUGUUCAAAAGGCGUUCCACGCAAACGUCACCCGCCUCGACCACCCCUGGUUAGCUUGCAGCGAGGUCUUGACACGCUGGAUCGACAGCACCACAACUGUUUUGCCUAUUAUCAGGGAGCUGAUGAAAAACAACAUCAGAGUCUGGGUAUACAGCGGAGACACCGACGGGAACGUGCCGGUCACCGCCACCAGGUACUCCAUCAACCAGCUCCAGCUCCCCGUGGCCGCGAAAUGGAGGCGGUGGUUUAGCAGCACCAAGGGUGCCGGAGAGGUGGGCGGAUACGUGGUGCAGUACAAGGGCGGCCUCAGCUUGGUGACGGUGAGAGGAGCUGGCCACGAGGUCCCCAGCUACCAGCCGCAGCGAGCGCUCCAGCUUCUCCAGGCCUUCCUCGCCGGCACAACGCUGCCUGACUGCAAAAAAUGCUAG